GAUGAACGCUAGCGGCAGGCUUAACACAUGCAAGUCGAGGGGCAGCGCGGGAUAGCAAUAUCCUGGCGGCGACCGGCGGAAGGGUGCGUAACGCGUGAGCGACAUGCCCGUUGCCCGGGGACAACCGGUGGAAACGCCGACUAAUCCCCGAUGGGAUACGAUGCUUCAUGGCACUGUAUUGAAAGUUACGGCGGCGACGGAUUGGCUCGCGUCCGAUUAGCUGGUUGGCGGGGUAACGGCCCACCAAGGCUGCGAUCGGUAGGGGUUCUGAGAGGAAGGCCCCCCACAAUGGGACUGAGACACGGCCCAUACUCCUACGGGAGGCAGCAGUGAGGAAUAUUGGUCAAUGGGCGGAAGCCUGAACCAGCCAUGCCGCGUGCGGGAAGGAGGCCCUAUGGGCUGUGAACCGCUUUUGCCUGGGGGCAAUAAGGGCGUCGCGCACGUCCGAUGAGAGUACCAGGCGAAUAAGCAUCGGCUAACUCCGUG
Molecule: ribosomal RNA, 486 nt
Filed under: uncultured bacterium
Lineage: Bacteria
Description: partial 16S ribosomal RNA
Rfam family: Bacterial small subunit ribosomal RNA
Source: RNAcentral